CACGUAGGGGGCAAGCGUUGUCCGGAUUUAUUGGGCGUAAAGAGCGUGUAGGCGGCCAGGCAGGUCUGGUGUGAAAUCUCGAGGCUCAACCUCGAGCUGUCAUCGGAAACCGCUUGGCUAGAGUCCGGAAGAGGAGAGUGGAAUUCCCGGUGUAGCGGUGAAAUGCGCAGAUAUCGGGAAGAACACCUAUGGCGAAGGCAGCUCUCUGGGACGGUACUGACGCUGAGACGCGAAAGCGUGGGGAGCGAACAGG
Molecule: ribosomal RNA, 253 nt
Filed under: uncultured bacterium
Lineage: Bacteria
Description: partial 16S ribosomal RNA
Rfam family: Bacterial small subunit ribosomal RNA
Source: RNAcentral